CACUGACACAUGUUUAAUUAUGCCGGAUGAUUUCUACCUCAAUAAUGCUAAAGGUACAUGUAUAUUCUCAUACAGGUCCUGUUGUGAAUAUUUCUGGAUCUCUUGUAACUAUAGUAUACAUGUGGUAUGUUUUUGUGUAAGUGUGUUAUGUUUUGUAUAAGUGUGGUGUUUUGUGUAAGUGUGGUAUGUUUUAUGUUAGUGUGGUAUGUGUAAGUGUAAUGUGUUUUGUGUAAGUGCGGUAUGUGUUUUGUGUAAAUGUGGUAUGUUUUGUGUUAGUGUGGAAUGUGUAAGUGUGGUAUGUUUAGUGUAAGUGUGGUAUGUGUAAAUGUGGUAUGAUUUGUGUAAGUGUGGUAUGUUUUGUGUACGUGUAAUGUGUUCUGUGUAAGCAUGUUUUGUUUUGUGUAAGAUUGGUUUGAGGACCAAGGGGAAUCUACACUGGCAUAGCCUACCAUCUGAUAAUGGAAUAUACAGUGUAAUUGCAUCAUUAAAUUCAACACCUGCACAAAAACCGUAACCUUCAGCGAUACAGAUGUCAAUAAUGGGGGACUAUAAAAGCCCCCUCAUUACUCUUCAAGCGAUGUAAUAUAUGAACAUAAAUAAUCCAACUUUGUGCCCUUGACAUGUUGUAAAUCAAUCCAAUGAAGCAAUAUCAUAAUCUGACAACAAAACAUGAUAACGGGAUGGCGAUCAUAACACUUCUCCACAAAUAGCUGAUUAUUUUAGCUGCUGUUUCAUUGUAGUAAGUAAACUCUGAUGAUGUAGAUAUCUACAUUGAAAUGAAGAUUCUGUUAUCAGUCCUGAUUAAUACAGGUGUUGAUGACCAAGAAUUACAUAUGAUACAAUCAUCCACAUACAGAAACAUCUCCAGAACUGUACACAGUAAGACGGUGAUUCCUUACCCAGGUAUGUAACAUCUCCAGUAAGACACUAUUGUAUACAGUGAUUCCUUACCCAGGUAUGUAACAUCUCCAGUAAGACAUUAUUGUAUACAGUGAUUCCUUACCCAGGUAUGUAACAUCUCCAGUAAGACAUUGUACAGUGAUUCCUUACCCAGGUAUGUAACAUCUCCAGUAAGACAUUAUUGUACAGUGAUUCCUUACUCAGGUAUGUAACAUCUCCAGUAAGACAUUAUACAGUGAUUCCUUACCCAGGUAUGUAACAUCUCCAGUAAGACAUUGUUGUACAGUGAUUCCUUACCCAGGUAUGUAACAUCUCCAGUAAGACAUUAUUGUAUACAGUGAUUCCUUACCCAGGUAUGUAACAUCUCCAGUAAGACAUUAUUGUACAGUGAUUCCUUACCCAGGUAUGUAACAUCUCCAGUAAGACAUUGUACAGUGAUUCCUUACCCAGGUAUGUAACAUCUCCAGUAAGACAUCAUUGUAUACAGUGAUUCCUUACCCAGGUAUGUAACAUCUCCAGUAAGACAUCAUUGUAUACAGUGAUUCCUUACCCAGGUAUGUAACAUCUCCAGUAAGACAUCAUUGUAU
Pecten maximus is the source of this 1487-nucleotide long non-coding RNA. RefSeq lists it as uncharacterized. Lineage: Eukaryota; Metazoa; Mollusca; Bivalvia; Pectinida; Pectinidae. The transcript is spliced from 3 exons. The record is from RefSeq and is a predicted model, not a curated record.